UACCAACAAAGAUGUUGUGUCCGCCGAGAACUAAGAAAAAAUAAAUAAAUGUUAAAAUUCUCUCUCUCUCUCUGUCCCCCACCUCUCACUCUCUCUAGAAAAAAAAAAAAAAUUUUUUUUAUUUGUGUACUAUCACAGAAAUGCCCAGAAUUCAAUAGUAUUUCAUUCAAUUUAAUUUUCUGUUAUUUUGAGUCAUAAUGUUUUCAAGUUAUUAUGCAUUAUUAUGGGUAAAUUACUUAUAAUGAUUAAAUUGAUGUGAUAAUCUUGUUUUAAAAUUGAAGUGAAUAUAGAAUUUUUGUGUUAUAAUUUCAUAAUUUUGUGUAAAAUUGAAAUAAAUUAAAACUUAGUAUAAGAUGAAAAUUAAUAGUUAUGAAAUUAAUACAUAUUAUGAAAUGAUAUACUACUACAUCCACUAAAGUGUUCUUUUUAGGCUUAACUAAAUAUUUGGAAGAUAAUUAUAAAGUUAAUAUGUCUGCAAUUAUUUGUGACUAUUACCAAUAGGAGUCUUUAGGCUGAACAUUCAAGCUCACAAGACUGCUGUGGUUGCUACCACUCAAAGGAAUAUUAAACUAGAAUAGAAGCCAGGGUGUAGGACAUCAUCAAAUUCUUAUUAGCAGUCCAAGUACAAUUUAGCAAUCAGGAAUCAUUUAGCAAUACAAUUGACAUUCUUAGCUUUAUUAAUUACUUAGUAAGAGCUUGAAAGGUUAACUACAGGUGAGAUUUAAAUACAUCAAGAAAAAAGGUCUUAUUUAACUCUUUUACUCUCAUAUGCUAAAUCUAUUAUUUUAAAAUAUUUUACUUAAUAGAGUAUGUCUAAUUCUAAUGUUUUGGUUGUUUGAUAUCUGAGACUGAUUUACCAUAUAUACUUCAAGCUAAUGAAACCAAAGUUGUGGUGUCUGUGGUGUCCCUGUUAGCUUCACUGAUUUCAAACCCUGGGACUACUCUUUUCAACUUUUGCAUUCGGAUCAUCAAAGAAACUUAGACCCAGCAUUUUGGAAAAGAAGGAUGAAUGUGAAGUAAGAACAAACUGGAAUCUGUGAAGACAAACUGGAACUUAAGAUGCAAACUGAACACUGCAUCUGUUGCUCAAGACCUCCAACCUUAAUGAUGCAGAUAAACUGCAGAAUAAGCUGGUGUUCUUCACAUAACAAUGAAGUGAACUAGCAGAUUAGUGGCAAUUUGGGUGAGUUGUGACAGCACCUGGCCCCACAUCACCCUUUACAAUGCAACAAAGUGGCUACAGCUUCAUUUCUACAUUCCAUAAAUUUCUAACUCCCAGAGUUAACUCUAACCGUACAGGGAAGGGAAUUGUGGGAAAUAUAGUUCCAUUUAAGUUGAUACAGUACAAAUGCACCACAGGACUGACUACAUAAAUAUGGAAGCACAUUUGUUGAUAAGGAAAAGAUACUCAUAAAGUACAGUUUAGGAAGAAAAGCAGAUUGUAUGGCUAUGCCUGUAGCUUGAUGGUAUAGCAUGUGCUUGGCAUAUGCCAUGGCCAUGGGUUCAAUUUCCAUUAUAAAAAAAAAAAGCAAGUUAUAUUACUUACAAUAUUGUAACAGUUGUCUUCUUCACCUUUUGAAACCUUUUGUAUAUA
Molecule: non-coding RNA, 1594 nt
Organism: Ictidomys tridecemlineatus (thirteen-lined ground squirrel)
Lineage: Eukaryota; Metazoa; Chordata; Mammalia; Rodentia; Sciuridae
Source: RefSeq, a predicted model, not a curated record